GCAGGUUGUGUGACAGGAUCUUCCCUUGAGUAAGGAUGCCUCUCAAGGUUAUGCCUGUGUAGAGAUCCUAUGCAUCCUAACAUCAAGAUGUCUUGCUGAUCAAUACAGGACCUCUGUUUGCUGCUGCUACUAACCUGGGAGGUGCUGUUGACUCUGGAGGAAUGAGAGGCCUUAUAAAGGAAUCUAGAUACACUGGAGCAUUGUGAAGUCAUCAGUGGCAUGAUGUUCAGCAAAGAGACAUUCAAGUGUUUGAAACUCUCUAAUCUAUGAUAUCAUGUCACUGACAGAACAAAUGAAGAAGGAGGUGCCUGUUCUAAGGCUACUGAACAUCAUCUGCAUCACCAAGCAUGGCACAGGAAGUCAGAAAGUGUUUCACUGGUCCUUUACAACCAUUGGACUGCUCUGGUUGCUCAAGCAGAUAAUAAGCUGGCUGUACAUCGGCAAGCCUUGGCAUAGUUUAUUUUCUGUCUGCAGGAAAGGCAUAGUUUAUUUUCUAUCUGCAGGAAAAUCCUAUCUUUCCUACUGAUGUAAAGAGUGUGUCAAAAUGCUGCAGUCAAAUGCAGGUGCUCUGAAAUUUUGUGCCUGUAGAAGACAUAAGGAAAAACUAUGGAUAGAUUUGUGGAGAACACUGAGGUGGAAUACUGUUAUCUUGAAAAUAUGCAGGAUGGAGUUUACUCCACGGGGCUGAUCAGCAGCUGGGCACUGUAAAUGCAGCACGGAACAGGUGGAACAUAGCAGCAGGCUGCCUGGCUUUGCUGUAGAGUACCUCUGGGCAAGCUGACCAAGGUUUUGCUGAUCUGACAGCAUUUCAGAACAUCAUCCAGCUCCAGUGAAGCUAUCUUAAAAUUCGAACAUUUUCAGGCAAAUAAACCUGUGGAUGGGACUAACAGAAGUAAUAUGCUUGAAACAAACAUAAAAAACAUAAAAAGAAAGGUAAUCAAGAAUUUUUUUCCCUUCAGCCAGUGUAUGAGAUAUUUGUAGAUGUAUCAGUUGAACUAUUCAAACAUCUGAUAUAUGUAACUUUUAGGAAAAAUCUGUACAUUUACCCUAGCAUACAGGCAUACAGAAAUUUUAGCAAUCUUGCAGAUAACAGAAGGAAAAAUAACCUGAGGAUUUGGAAUAAUAAGGAGCUUGAUGUUUUGAAAACUGUUGAACACUGUACAUUCUCUCAGCAAUGAUCAGCACAAAGUUAUUUAGCACAGGUGUUUAUGUAAUUGAGAUACAUUAGGAAAACUAGCAGUGCUCAAUGAGCCUCAAACAGGCAUUUAUGCUUUUAUGUUUAAAUACACUUCUGUUAAUUAUAAAGAGUUAUGGUAUGAAAUAAGUACCAUAACAUGCUGUUGUAAGAAGACUUGCUGGAUGGAUUUUUCAAGGCACGUACUUCUUCAUUUCUUAAGCUGCUGUGUUGCUGGAUUUUGUAACAGACAGUGUAGAACACAAAACCACUUCAAGGAUUUUUACACAGUGAGUUUGAGCCAAAACGUUCCUCCUGCUACUGCAGUACUGGCAAAAUUCCCUAACUGCAAAUGUGCAGCUGAAAACAAUACAGAUGUAAAUGAGUGAGAGUUUUCUAAUUCUAAUUCUACAAUUCUUUUAUCACUCAAUUCAGAUGCUUGAUGUUCAUUAAAAACCACAAAAGGGUUGCUAUUUUUUUUCCAUGUGUGUAUUCUUCCUAGAAGUCUUUCAGGAAUUUGGGUACAC
Molecule: long non-coding RNA, 1701 nt
Organism: Numida meleagris (helmeted guineafowl)
Lineage: Eukaryota; Metazoa; Chordata; Aves; Galliformes; Numididae
Exons: 3
Source: RefSeq, a predicted model, not a curated record